GACCAACGCUGGCGGCGUGCCUAAUACAUGCAAGUAGAACGCACAGUUUAUACCGUAGCUUGCUACACCAUAGACUGUGAGUUGCGAACGGGUGAGUAACGCGUAGGUAACCUGCCUGGUAGCGGGGGAUAACUAUUGGAAACGAUAGCUAAUACCGCAUAAUAUUGAUUAUUGCAUGAUAAUUGAUUGAAAGAUGCUAUUGCAUCACUACCAGAUGGACCUGCGUUGUAUUAGCUAGUAGGUGAGGUAACGGCUCACCUAGGCGACGAUACAUAGCCGACCUGAGAGGGUGAUCGGCCACACUGGGACUGAGACACGGCCCAGACUCCUACGGGAGGCAGCAGUAGGGAAUCUUCGGCAAUGGACGAAAGUCUGACCGAGCAACGCCGCGUGAGUGAAGAAGGUUUUCGGAUCGUAAAGCUCUGUUGUAAGAGAAGAACGGGUGUGAGAGUGGAAAGUUCACACUGUGACGGUAUCUUACCAGAAAGGGACGGCUAACUACGUG
Molecule: ribosomal RNA, 505 nt
Filed under: uncultured bacterium
Lineage: Bacteria
Description: partial 16S ribosomal RNA
Rfam family: Bacterial small subunit ribosomal RNA
Source: RNAcentral